Podarcis lilfordi (Lilford's wall lizard) is the source of this 4512-nucleotide non-coding RNA. NCBI's taxonomy places the organism in Eukaryota, Metazoa, Chordata, Lepidosauria, Squamata, Lacertidae. The record is from the annotation of a GenBank genome assembly.
AAAAAAAGAAAAGAGAGAGAGAGAGAGAGAGAGAGAGAGAGAAGCAAAGAAACUUGACUUCCUUCCUUCCAAGGUGAGGGAUGUGCCCUAGUUAAGUCUAGGAAAACAGCUUCUCUAUGGUCUUAACUAGAGCUAAGCAUGCUGGUUAUAUGAGGCUGAUUUAUCUCACAACUAAGUGGUGACAUGAUAGAAGUGCAUAACAUGCAUAGCAUGGAGAAAGUGGAUAGAGAGAACUUUUUCUCUCUUAUAACUCAUGGACAUCCAAUGAAGCUGAAUGUUGUAAGAUUCAGGAUAGAUAAAAGAAAGCAUUUCUUCAUGUAGUUGCAGGCUUCCUCAAACUCAGCCCUCCAUAUGUUUUAAGACUACAAUUCCCACCAUCCCUGACCACUGGUCCUGCUAGCUAGGGUGAUAAUAGCUAUGUUCUGCCUCCACUAUCAGAGACAAUAUGGUUCUGAAUACUAGUUGCUGGAAACCCUAGGAGGGGAGAGUGCCCUUACGCUCAGGUUGUGCUAGUGGACUUCUCUAGGAACUAGAUGGGUCAUUUUCCUGACCCAGCAGGCUCUUCUUAUGUUCUUAUGUGUGUAUUAUGUAUGUCUUCCAACUUGGAUAGCUUCAUACCACAAUAACUUUGCUAAUAUAUGCACAGCUUCAAAUUUCUGAUUAUUGCAUUUUGAAAGUGGAUCUGUGUCGUACAGUGGUACCUCGGGUUAAGUACUUAAUUUGUUCUGGAGGUCCAUUCUUAACCUGAAACUGUUCCUAACCCGAAGCACCACUUUAGUUAAUGGGGCCUCCUGCUGAUGCCACGCCGCUGGAGCACAAUUUCUGUUCUCAUCCUGAAGCAAAGUUCUUAACCCGAGGUACUAUUUCUGGGUUAGCGGAGUCUGUAACCUGAAGCAUAUGUAACCCGAGGUACCACUGUACUGUGCAAAAUACCCAAGUGCAGGGCAUUUGUGGAGGGCAGCUGGCUGGCCACCAAAUCCUUUAUAAACAGCUGGUCCCCCUUCUCCCUGCUUGCUUUCUGCACUAUUCUGAGGAACCGAUCUUUCAUGAAGAAGCAAAGUACAUGUCAAAGGUUGUGUAACUGUACAUGUAGGGCAUCAUGAUAUUGUUUACGAUUUAGCUGGCAUCUUUAUAGAUCAGAAAUAUGGCUGGUCUUUCAUACCCUUCAUGAAGCAGAAGCCAGAAGACGUAUGAUGCUUUUAGAACGAUGACAAUGAGAAGGCAUCUGUAAGAAGAUUCACAGACAGGAAAAAUAGGCAACAGGCAACCAGCCCCAGCAUGGAGUCUCUAGAUAAGUAGUUUAAUUGCCAGACUGCAUUGCUUGGAAGGAGAAGGAAAUCUAAGCUAAAUUAAAAGAUUAGAGAGAGACAUUUUUUUCAUCAAGUGGCAACAAAUAGAAGAAAUGGUCGUCUGCUCAGGAGAAAAUAAGAAGAAAGGAGCUGUGAAUGUUGCAAAAAUACAUCCAUUAGGCCUGUGUUAUCAAAACGUGCCUGUGCCCCUGUAUCCAGCCGUACAUUUCCAUAGCAACAAGGCCUUGUCAACAGAGAAGAAAGUGUUUUUGUCAGGGAUAGGCCCAAACGCAUAAAAGCCAUUUCUAUCUGGGAGCAGUACAAUCCUCUUAAAUCAAUACAGCACACGUAGUAAUUGCACUCACCAUUUCUCCCAUAAAUCUUCACUUUUACCCCUUUCAUUUCCUGCAACUUGUCAUCAUAUGAACUAGAGCUGGUUUUACCUGCUUUCUGCAGUUUUGAUUGCCCCUUACCGUCUUCCAUAGUAAACAGGUUCUAUGUUUGGAAGAUAAGCCAUUUCCUCCAUGCCUAGAUAGAAAUGUUGUGUAGAAUAGUUCCAAGCUGGAGGUCUUCACUUUAUUGUCUUCCUGGUGUUUCUUUCAAGACCAAGGGCACCAGUUCUAGCUCCUAAAAGUGCUAGUGGUGGAACUCACCUGUACUGGAAUGCAAGUACCGACUCUGGGUUAUAUUCAGGGCUGCAGCUCUGAUUGCACAAGACUCCCAUGCACACAAUGGAACUUCCUCUUCCUCUACAGUCAAAGGUGGAUUUAGGGGAGCAGGGCCUUGGGGACACCACAAUGAAGAUUUAGAAUAGAGCAUGAGAGGUGGGGGGGGGCACUGAAUUUUGGUACCACACAGAUAGAUUCCAAGGUCUGCCACUGUCCUCUGACCAAAAAGCUACAAUUUAGUUUCCAAUUAAGGUUUCAGAUGAAGGUUUCUUGAGAAACAUAUCCUAUUGAAAUGAAAACCAGUAAUAAGACACUUCUUACUUUGAGGGACCUAAUAUAUACAGUGGUGCCUCGCAAGACGAAAUUAAUCCGUUCCGCGAGAGUCUUCGUCUAGCGGUUUUUUCGUCUUGCGAAGCAACCCCAUUAGCGGCUUAACGGAUUAGCGCUAUUAGCGGUUUAGCGGCUAUUAAAGGCUUAAAGGCUUAGCGGAUUAGCUGCUAAAAGGCUAUUAAAGGCUAUUAAAGGCUUAGCAGGUUAGAUAAAGGGGGCAAAAAGCGAAAAAAAAAUCUCAAGACUUGCAAGACAUUUUCGUCUUGCGAAGCAAGCCCAUAGGGAAAUUCGUCCUGCGAAGCAACUCAAAAACGGAAAACCCUUUCGUCUAGCGGGUUUUCCGUCUUGCGAGGCAUUCGUCUUGCGGGGCACCACUGUAUAGGCAAUUUCUGAUGUGUUGCAAAUAACAUAAAUACCAUAAGAACCAAACCUGGUUGCUUCCGCUGGGAGCUUAAAAAGUAUGUUUUAAAGUAUCUGAUAUUUAAUCAGAUUUCCCCUAGAAUGGUGGCUGUUGUUUUGAGACUUGGAUCAGUUAUUAUCAGCUUUUCAGCAUUCAGUACCAUUGGCAGCCUGUAAAGGAUAAGAAUUAGAGGAGAUAUAAUGAUUAUGACAGGAACACUAACAAGACAAUAUCUUGCAUCUCAGAGAGCCCCACAUUUUGACAGAUGGAAAUGAAAAUGUUAAUUUGGAAGUGAAGUAGAAAGAAAUAAUUCCUAACACACAUACUCAGUGUGGUUCAAAGAGAAUGAGAUGCGGGGGAAGGACACAUUGUUCUAACCGACAAUGCUUUUUUUUGGGGGGGGGGGGACUGCCGGCCCAGAAAUGUAUCGUUCCUACCACUGACUUAUUCCUAUCUCAAGGCACCCUCAGCAUCAGAUAUUAUGAAAAUGCAGUGGAAGAGGAAGGAUUAGAAGUAUGUACUGAGUGAAAAGCAUAAUUGAUUAGUAGAACUCAUGCUUUGCAUGUAAAAGGUCUAGUGCCUUCUAUGUGUGCCCACUGUGGUAGUUAAAUGCACCAGAAACACAUAGCUCAUUCCCUUUGGUGAGAUGGCCUCAAGACUGCCUGUAGCUAAUUAGCGUAGAGAAGGUACUAAAAAAUGAGGGCCCUAUCCUGCUGAACAAGGAGAAUCCCAUUCCUUGAAACAUAACAUGGAAAUUACUGAGAGGUUAAAGAAUAUAGCCGUAUAAAAUGCCACUGUAAUGAUGAGAUCAUCUCAUUAUCUUUCCCCACUUUGAAAGUUAUAUAUACAGGACUUCCCCUGCCCCAGCAGGAACUCAGUUCCGGCACCUCAUCUUUCCCUCGCUCUCAUCCUUCAGUCACCUUUUGUUUCAUUGGGUCCUUACAGUGGCAUCACCCAUCUGUUACUUGUCUUUUAGUUGACAUGUUUGAAAGCUGUCGCAUAUAAAACAGAAGUUGCUCUUUAUGGGUCUACAGAAUUAAAGUGUACCUCUGUUCCCUUUAGGAAAACACAGAACUACUUGGAACAUAACGUUCAAUUAUUGGCCCUAAAACGCACUGCAUCUGGAGAAAGGUUACGGCAAGAUUAUGAUUUUUGGAAGAGAACCCAGCAGUCUUUUGUGGGAAUGACAAAAACGCCCAUCUGCUUUGAAGCUCACAGAACGUUUGGUGCAUUAUUGAUGGGUAUUCUUUAUUUGAAUUUUUUUAAGCAAAAUGUGUGAACUGCAUAAUCAAAAGAUAAAAUAAUUAUCAAUAAUAAUUAUUAUUAUCAAUUAACAAAAAAACACACACAAAAAACACACCCCAAAACAAGUAUGCAUAGCUAUUUGUUUUCUGGGUAGGCUUGCUGAAAUGAAGCAGUUUUUCUUUUCUUUUUUAUCAGGCAUCUAAAAAAAUGGUGCCUGUCAAAGGGAGGGCAGGGUGUUCCAAAGCAUAGGUGCUGCCACACUGAAAGAUCAAGUCUUCACAGAUGUGGAACAAACAUGUGGCAUUUGUAAAAGUGCAAGUUCCAUAGAUCAAACCAAUUGAGUAGGUAUGUAUGGGGCAAAGUGAUCGUUCAAAUAAACUGGUCUGAGGCCACAGGAUACAGUGUUUGCAUUGAAGUUUCACAGAGAAAUGGUUGUACCCACUGAUCACCAAUUUAAACUAUUGGAAACUUGAAAGCAAAACCAAUAUGCCUGUGAUGAUAUGAUUAUUUACCUGUUAUUUGUUGUCCUCACUAGAAGGUUUUGCUCUGUGAAUAAAUAAAAUAAAUGAAAAUAUCAAAA